This 259-nucleotide ribosomal RNA is filed under the name uncultured bacterium. RNAcentral describes it as "partial 16S ribosomal RNA". It matches the Rfam family "Bacterial small subunit ribosomal RNA", at positions 96 to 354 of the family's 1533-position model. The record is from RNAcentral.
UGGCGGACGGGUGAGUAACGCGUGGGUAACCUGCCUUGCACUGGGGGAUAACACUUAGGAAAUAGGUGCUAAUACCGCAUAAGCGCACGGUCCUGCAUGGGACAGUGUGAAAAACUCCGGUGGUGCAAGAUGGACCCGCGUCUGAUUAGCUGGUUGGCGGGGUAAAGGCCCACCAAGGCGACGAUCAGUAGCCGGCCUGAGAGGGUGGACGGCCACAUUGGGACUGAGACACGGCCCAAACUCCUACGGGAGGCAGCAG